GAUGAACGCUAGCGGCAGGCCUAACACAUGCAAGUCGAGGGGUAGAGUGCUUCGGCACUUGAGACCGGCGCACGGGUGCGUAACACGUGUACAAUCUACCUUUUGCUAAGGGAUAGCCCGAAGAAAUUUGGAUUAAUACCUUAUAGUAUUGUUUGGUGGCAUCACUGAAUAAUUAAAGCUCUGGUGGCAAAAGAUGAGUACGCGUCCCAUUAGCUAGUUGGUGUGGUAACGGCAUACCAAGGCUACGAUGGGUAGGGGUCCUGAGAGGGAGGUCCCCCACACUGGUACUGAGACACGGACCAGACUCCUACGGGAGGCAGCAGUGAGGAAUAUUGGACAAUGGUCGGAAGACUGAUCCAGCCAUGCCGCGUGCAGGAUGACGGCCUUAUGGGUUGUAAACUGCUUUUAUACGGGAAGAAUAAGGUCUACGAGUAGAUUGAUGACGGUACUGUAUGAAUAAGCAUCGGCUAACUCCGUGCCAGCAGCCGCGGUAAUACGGAGGAUGCGAGCGUUAUCCGGAAUCAUUGGGUUUAAAGGGUCCGUAGGCGGGCUUAUAAGUCAGAGGUGAAAGCACUGAGCUCAACUGAGUAACUGCCUUUGAAACUGUAGGUCUUGAAUAUUUGUGAAGUAGCUGGAAUGUGUAGUGUAGCGGUGAAAUGCAUAGAUAUUACACAGAACACCGAUUGCGAAGGCAUGUUACUAACAAAUUAUUGACGCUGAUGGACGAAAGCGUGGGGAGCGAACAGGAUUAGAUACCCUGGUAGUCCACGCUGUAAACGAUGGAUACUAGCUGUUUGGAAGUAAUUUUGAGUGGCUAAGCGAAAGUGAUAAGUAUCCCACCUGGGGAGUACGCACGCAAGUGUGAAACUCAAAGGAAUUGACGGGGGCCCGCACAAGCGGUGGAGCAUGUGGUUUAAUUCGAUGAUACGCGAGGAACCUUACCAAGGUUUAAAUGGGAAACGACGUACCUAGAGAUAGGUAUUUCUUCGGACGUUUUUCAAGGUGCUGCAUGGUUGUCGUCAGCUCGUGCCGUGAGGUGUCAGGUUAAGUCCUAUAACGAGCGCAACCCCUGCGAAUAGUUGCCAUCAUUAAGUUGGGCACUCUAUUUGGACUGCCGGUGCAAACCGUGAGGAAGGUGGGGAUGACGUCAAAUCAUCACGGCCCUUACA
Molecule: ribosomal RNA, 1169 nt
Filed under: Capnocytophaga canimorsus
Lineage: Bacteria; Pseudomonadati; Bacteroidota; Flavobacteriia; Flavobacteriales; Flavobacteriaceae
Description: bacterial SSU rRNA
Rfam family: Bacterial small subunit ribosomal RNA
Source: RNAcentral